GUCAGAAGAGAGCUAAAAUGGCGGAGGUUGUGAGUUCCUGCUUUGACCCUGUUUGCAAGCUCUUGUUUCAUUGUUUAAGCGAUUAAAUCUCUCGAGUAGACGCUGUCUCUUUAGAUGCGAGGGCAAAAUAGCACUUUAUGGACUUCCACAGAGGACAUCAUGUUUAAUACGGUUCCGGAAAAAUCCAGUCAGAAGUUGUUCACGGAGUUUUCACAAUAACUGCUUCUCAUGAACCGAAGCUGGAUUUGCGCGAAGUCUCCUCUUGAAAUUUGGAUUACUGCACUUCUGGAUCACAGGCUAUUCGCAGCUGGACACAUCCUUCUACACUGUAUGCAAACAUGCAACAUCAUUACACACAGUACAAGGAGUCAGACUGGCAUAUGAGGAGCAAAGGAACCCAGGCAGUAGCAUCGUUUCACAAUGUUUCCAUCACCAUCAUCAGUGGAUGCCUUUGCUGUCCGUAGCCUGAGAUUUCAGAUUUGCAGCAAAAAAAAUUUAUUUUCUCAUUUAUUGGAAUGCUGUGCAGGUAUUUGUACCUUGCAGCCAUCCAUUACAAUGUCACCAAGCCGUAACAAAAGCAGGAGAGGGAAAGUACAAGGCUAUGUUCCCAAAACACACAAGUGACAUACCUUAUGUGGAUGAUGUGAUCAGGCUUGUGUUUGAUGAGGUAUUUGAAGAUAAGCUGAAGGAAGCCCUGAUUCCAAUGGACCUGGCAUCACAGUUUGAGAGACCUUCAAAGGAGGACGUGAUUGCAUGCCAUCUUCAGUGCAG
This is a long non-coding RNA of Paramisgurnus dabryanus, 771 nucleotides long. RefSeq lists it as uncharacterized. Lineage: Eukaryota; Metazoa; Chordata; Actinopteri; Cypriniformes; Cobitidae. The record is from RefSeq and is a predicted model, not a curated record.